Small nuclear RNA from Suncus etruscus (white-toothed pygmy shrew), 103 nucleotides. Lineage: Eukaryota; Metazoa; Chordata; Mammalia; Eulipotyphla; Soricidae. The record is from RefSeq and is a predicted model, not a curated record.
GUGCUCGCUUUGGCAGCACAUAUACUAAAAUUGGAAUGAUAAGAGAUUAGCAAGGCCCCUGCGCAAGGAUGACAUGCAAAUUCAUGAAGCAUUCCAUAUUUAA